RNAcentral lists this ribosomal RNA (1437 nucleotides) under uncultured organism. RNAcentral's name for it is "partial small subunit ribosomal RNA". It matches the Rfam family "Bacterial small subunit ribosomal RNA". The record is from RNAcentral.
ACGAACGCUGGCGGCGUGCUUAACACAUGCAAGUCGAACGGAAAGGCCCUGCUUUUGUGGGGUGCUCGAGCGGCGAACGGGUGAGUAACACGUGAGUAACCUGCCCUUGACUUUGGGAUAACUUCAGGAAACUGGGGCUAAUACCGGAUAGGAGCUCCUGCUGCAUGGUGGGGGUUGGAAAGUUUCGGCGGUUGGGGAUGGACUCGCGGCUUAUCAGCUUGUUGGUGGGGUAGUGGCUUACCAAGGCUUUGACGGGUAGCCGGCCUGAGAGGGUGACCGGCCACAUUGGGACUGAGAUACGGCCCAGACUCCUACGGGAGGCAGCAGUGGGGAAUAUUGCACAAUGGGCGGAAGCCUGAUGCAGCAACGCCGCGUGCGGGAUGACGGCCUUCGGGUUGUAAACCGCUUUCGCCUGUGACGAAGCGUGAGUGACGGUAAUGGGUAAAGAAGCACCGGCUAACUACGUGCCAGCAGCCGCGGUGAUACGUAGGGUGCGAGCGUUGUCCGGAUUUAUUGGGCGUAAAGGGCUCGUAGGUGGUUGAUCGCGUCGGAAGUGUAAUCUUGGGGCUUAACCCUGAGCGUGCUUUCGAUACGGGUUGACUUGAGGAAGGUAGGGGAGAAUGGAAUUCCUGGUGGAGCGGUGGAAUGCGCAGAUAUCAGGAGGAACACCAGUGGCGAAGGCGGUUCUCUGGGCCUUUCCUGACGCUGAGGAGCGAAAGCGUGGGGAGCGAACAGGCUUAGAUACCCUGGUAGUCCACGCUGUAAACGGUGGGUACUAGGUGUGGGGUCCAUUCCACGGGUUCCGUGCCGUAGCUAACGCUUUAAGUACCCCGCCUGGGGAGUACGGCCGCAAGGCUAAAACUCAAAGGAAUUGACGGGGCCCCGCACAAGCGGCGGAGCAUGCGGAUUAAUUCGAUGCAACGCGUAGAACCUUACCUGGGUUUGACAUGGAUCGGGAGUGCUCAGAGAUGGGUGUGCCUCUUUUGGGGUCGGUUCACAGGUGGUGCAUGGCUGUCGUCAGCUCGUGUCGUGAGAUGUUGGGUUAAGUCCCGCAACGAGCGCAACCCUUGUUCACUGUUGCCAGCACGUUAUGGUGGGGACUCAGUGGAGACCGCCGGGGUCAACUCGGAGGAAGGUGGGGAUGACGUCAAGUCAUCAUGCCCCUUAUGUCCAGGGCUUCACGCAUGCUACAAUGGCUGGUACAGAGAGUGGCGAGCCUGUGAGGGUGAGCGAAUCUCGGAAAGCCGGUCUCAGUUCGGAUUGGGGUCUGCAACUCGACCUCAUGAAGUCGGAGUCGCUAGUAAUCGCAGAUCAGCAACGCUGCGGUGAAUACGUUCCCGGGGCUUGUACACACCGCCCGUCAAGUCAUGAAAGUUGGUAACACCCGAAGCCGGUGGCCUAACCGUUGUGGGGGAGCCGUCGAAGGUGGGACUGGUA